Molecule: transfer RNA, 94 nt
Filed under: Streptomyces cyanogenus
Lineage: Bacteria; Bacillati; Actinomycetota; Actinomycetes; Kitasatosporales; Streptomycetaceae
Description: tRNA-Gly
Source: RNAcentral
UUCGGCCAUCGUGUAGUUGGAGAUGCUCGCCGGCUGCCACUCGGCCGGCGGGUAGUCGACGAAACCGGUCUGCGCUCCGGCACGCGGGUCGGGG